AAUUUAUAAUUUUAUUUUGCUUGGUGUUGUGCUUUAUAAUGUUUGCAGAUCAAGCCCAUGAAACUUGUGGAUUAUAACUAUAAAAAUACACUUCAGAGCACGCAGGGCACACAUGAUUAUUGGAUGCAUUUAAGCUCCGUCUGCGCGGUACAUCAUUGGUGCAAUUAAACUGUAGUAAACGUGGACGUGGACGUGGACGGACGACGCAGAGAACAAGACGUUCUGCCACUUGGCUGGCUCUCGUAUAAUUUUUAUUAAGUCGUUCUGAGGAAUGCACCGCCGAGGCGAGUCGAGUCGAGCCGGGUCGAGUGCUGCAUGAAGGCUGAGGGCUGGCCCAUAAACCCACAUUUCUGACGGGGGCUGCCCUCUCGCCUGCUCUGUGUGUUAACUACGCGGAGGGGAGCGGACCAGGAACUGGAACUGGAGUCAUAAAACACGGCUAUAUGCGACAGCGUCGAAGGAUUAAAAAAUGACUGCGUGACAAAGCAUUUUAUAAUCGUCAUCUGAUUCACUUAAAAACACAUUCAUCGCCGCCACCACUGACUCGAUGUCGGAGUUCAGACCCGCCGUGAAGCUGUGAAGCGAUCCGAAUUUGGGCUCGGGCGAACCGCAAG
Molecule: small RNA, 614 nt
Filed under: Drosophila mojavensis
Lineage: Eukaryota; Metazoa; Arthropoda; Insecta; Diptera; Drosophilidae
Description: GI27001
Source: RNAcentral